UGCUAUAUUUUUUUUCUUUUUUUUCGAAAAGGGGGUUUACCCCAGCCUCUGCAUCAGAAAGAUGCAUACGGCUCAUAUUAUUAAAAAUAAAGUCCAGCAACAAAGUCGUCAAGUAUCGAGUUGCGAAGAUAAACAAAAGGCUCGAAAGAGCUCCAACCCAAAGCCACAACCGGCUGGCAAACACAAUAGGAGCACUACAUGCCUAUCCUAUUACAUGACCGUCAUCCAAAUCGGUUGAAGAUAACCCGCGCUACCAUCUCCCAUCGGAUAGACGCAGUAACCAAACGCUCCCUGGGCUCCGUCGGAGUGAGUAGCGACCACAUACGGAUGAAUGCCGUGGCCCUGAAGACAACCUGCAAAAAGUGAAUGUUUGUUGAUCUAUUAAAUACUAAAUCAUUUCUGCAAUUCCAUACUGCCCAAAGUAAAGCACAAACGCCAACACGUCUUGCAGUAUCGGAAUCAACCCCAUCAAGUCAUGUUCCAAAUAACAUAUUGAUAGAGGUGGGCUGAUUGAUAUUGAACGCAAUAUGAAUCGACCGCCACAGAAUCUUAGCCAACGGACAAUCGAGAAAGAGGUGUUUGAUGCUUUCGUUAUGAUCGCAAAAGCUACACCUAAAUGAGCCCACCCAGUUGCGUUUUGCCAGGUUAUCCUUAGUCAAAAUGACUUGUUUAUGCACAAACCACAUAAACACUUUGAUACGUAAGGGAACCUUUACUUUCCACACGUGAAUCGAGGAAGGGACAGCGCUAGAGUUAAUGACAUCCAGAUACAUAGAUGUAACCUGCUAUAUAUAUAUAUCUCCAUUAAUUUUGCACUUCAUGCUUUAUUAACAGACCAGACAAAGCAUUCUCUUCAAAAACGGACCAUUGUUCCAUAUAGAUGUAUGAAUAAUCAAUUCUUACAUGCUUAUGAUCCUUGGAGAGUUGUCACUGGUGUAGCUGCAUGUCAGCCUUUCCCAGACCAUAGUCUUUGGAACACAUGGGUCACCCAUCCAAUUCUUCUGCACCUCAUAAUUCGCUUUGAUCGCCAUGAUGGCAGAUACUGCAGUUAAUUGUUAAUCACAACAUGUUUUGAUUAGCAUGCGUGUUCGACCUGUGUGCCUAAAGAAUUAAUCAUAAGCUACAUGUCAGUUAUUUGCGUAGGAACGUACCAUCCUGGGAGUCAGUGGCAAUGUUGGUGGCGGAGAUGACGAAGAAAAACUCGACGGCACUGAUUACAGGUGGUAGCGUCGAGUUGGCGGUGGCGUACAUGGAGAUGUUGUACUUGUUGUCUCGGUAACGUGCAUUUCCAUUGGACACGAAGCCCGUGCCAAGGUAGUGUGGGCUAACAGGUUCGGGUAACUGCAUGUCGUUAAUGCUGAUGUAGAACUGGCGCUCGGCGUUGCUAGGAAGGAAUUGCGGCUCGGAGAAAUGCAUGAUGAUGAGAUAUCCUAGGGACUGGUUCGGGGGCUGAGGGUUGGGGCUCCAAAUGAUCUCGAGGUUCAUGGCGGCAUUUAGCGGCGUGACUGCUGUCUGCAUCACCAUCGAUGGUACCUCGAAGACAUCGCCAUCACUCUGCACCGUCUCCGUAGUUGAUAUGCUGCUCCACAUUUUUGCAUCACUCUUAGGGACUUGCCUCUAGCAAGUCACAUUGUAACUGGCCCCCUCUCAUCUGCCGUCCAAUGCAGAUCCAACGCAUGAGAUUUGCCCAAAGCAAAACAGCCCAUACCUACAGACUUGGCAAAAGCACAACUGCACAAGCAUAGAAACAGGGCCGACAUGGCACUCAAAACCUCUUCAGAUUGCCCAUUUUCACAAAUGCUAAUGCUAGUACAUAAUGACAACAGCAACAAAGCACUAAGAUAUUCCAAAUUACAUAUUUCACAGCCCACAUUUGACCAUUGUUGAGGAAAUCGUUAACUGAUAGCUGCUCGGUUGGCUGGUGAGUAGGGGAUUAAUCGGCUAAUCGGCAAGUUAAUCGGCCAUUUAAUCAAUUAAUCGAAUGAUUUAUCGGUUUAUAGGCUACCCGGUGACCCUACGAGUAGGGAUUUUUAAUCGGCAAGUUAAUUGGUUAAUCGGAUGAAUUCUUGAACAGGGCAUUUGGCUUAAUAAAAACACAAGAAACUGUCCAAAUUGCAUAUUAUGUACGGCAGCAACACAACACUGGAACCUGUCCAAAUUGUAUAGUUCUCAGCCUACACUUGCAGGAUUAGUGAAUACAGAAGAAACAAUGCCAGUAAAGUAAUGGAACCUUUUCAAACUGGACAAUUUUGACACUGAACACUGGAUAUAUUAGGCAAGUAUAGUUGUACACUUGGCUAUGUUUAAUCCAAAGAGUGAACCAGAUGCACACAUGAGCAGAGAUAGGCUAAAAUAAAAUCAGUACAUAUACAAUUUCAGAGAUAAGCUACAAUUUCAGAAAGGCGAGUCAAGAUGCUGCAGAUAUGCAAUUUUAUUAAGAUAAAAAAAGAAGUCAAGCAGAACAUAUAGUGCAUUUAUACGGCUGAUCUGGUGUACCAGGAAGAACAACUUCAGCCAAAGUAAAAUUCAGAAAAUGUUGCAGUCUGAAUAUGAACAGCAGGGGACUCACGAUAGAAUCAUCCAGAGAGGUUCCCGUCGAAUCGUCCGGUGCAGUGGCGGCGGAUCUCCUCCCUCCUCUGCAGCGACGGCGGAGCCCCUCGUCGCUCUACUCCAUGGAAGCGUAGCUCCUCCUCCGCGACGGCGCCGAGCUGCCUCGCUUCCAGGGGCACUUGCGCAGCUUUCCUCUCUCUCCCUGGA
This 2757-nucleotide long non-coding RNA is filed under the name Triticum aestivum (bread wheat). Its description in RNAcentral is "long non-coding RNA (TAES_LNC009064)". The record is from RNAcentral. Lineage: Eukaryota; Viridiplantae; Streptophyta; Magnoliopsida; Poales; Poaceae.